Molecule: long non-coding RNA, 997 nt
Filed under: Nicotiana benthamiana
Lineage: Eukaryota; Viridiplantae; Streptophyta; Magnoliopsida; Solanales; Solanaceae
Description: long non-coding RNA (NBEN_LNC032245)
Source: RNAcentral
GUAUUUUGAAUAUGCAGAAUUGUAUUAAAUCUGUAGGCAUGAUUUCUAUCCUUUUGCAUGCAUAGUCACCCACCCUUUUCACUAACCGUCCCCAAAUGUUCAUUACAACUUAUUACAAACCAAAAUAAAAAAUUACAUCAAAAGUAUAAAGAAAAUACAACCAAAGGAAGCCUGAUUCUGACUUCCCGCCUGAAUUAUGAGAUAGACCAAUCCAAGAUCACUGAUCCAAAACCUUUCUCCAAUUUAAGUGUGUCAGAGUUCCAUAAGAGCCUCUAUGAGACUCCAGGCACUGCUCACACCCAAAUAGUAUCACCAGAAUAGGGACAAGUGUAGUGUAGAAGAGCCAACCCCCAAGUGUCCAAGUCCAGAAGGAGCUUAAUGGGUCCCAAAGCAAGGCUCACAAGAGGGGCAGAACUUAAGGUCUAAGAGAGAGUGCAAGUGAAGAAACAAAAUUUUAAAGAACUAAGAAAGUAAAGAAAAGGGGGAGAAGUGUUGGGAAACAACCAUAAACAAAUCAAACAAAGGGUUCAGGGAUUGGGGAAAUUGCCAAAGAGCUGACGUGCUUAGGAAUUAGCCAAUUCUGGGCAUGCACAACAAUACAGAAUGCUGUUAUGCUUAUUGAAUCAACAAGAAUACACAACAUAUGAUGGUGAAAUAGAGUUUAUGAUUCCAGGGGAAUAAAGUUUGAGCCAUAGAUAAUAAUACUCAAUACUGCCAUGUCUCACACAAACCAUUAGCAUCAAACACACAGGGAUAGGGGGUUUGAGAUUCAUAAUAGGAGGAAAUUAUAGCAUGCUAAAGUAGAUAGUGAACUAAACACAAGCUGUAGGCAGACAUGCAAGUAAUGCUAUUAAGUAAACACAUUGUUUGUGAUUGCUGAAAAUCUUAAUCAGGACAUACCAGUUUCAAGGAAGCAAAAUACAGUAAAAGUAGUUGCAGGACUUCAAAAAAAUGCUAAACAGUACAAGUAAUAAAGAGAAUAGUUUCUGAGUGUGAG